GAUGAACGCUGGCGGCGUGCUUAACACAUGCAAGUCGAACGAAGCACUUUAUUUGAUUUCCUUCGGGACUGAUUAUUUUGUGACUGAGUGGCGGACGGGUGAGUAACGCGUGGGUAACCUGCCUUGUACAGGGGGAUAACAGUUGGAAACGGCUGCUAAUACCUCAUAAGCGCACAGCCUCUCAUGAUGCAGUGUGAAAAACUCCGGUGGUAUAAGAUGGACCCGCGUUGGAUUAGCUAGUUGGUGAGGUAACGGCCCACCAAGGCGACGAUCCAUAGCCGACCUGAGAGGGUGACCGGCCACAUUGGGACUGAGACACGGCCCAAACUCCUACGGGAAGCAGCAGUGGGGAAUAUUGCACAAUGGGCGAAAGCCUGAUGCAGCGACGCCGCGUGAGCGAAGAAGUAUUUCGGUAUGUAAAGCUCUAUCAGCAGGGAAGAUAAUGACGGUACCUGACUAAGAAGCACCGGCUAAAUACGUG
Molecule: ribosomal RNA, 481 nt
Filed under: uncultured bacterium
Lineage: Bacteria
Description: partial 16S ribosomal RNA
Rfam family: Bacterial small subunit ribosomal RNA
Source: RNAcentral